UAAGUCACCCAGCAAGGAAAUACCGUGAUCACAAAGGUGAUUUUCCCAGGGUGAGGUGUAUCCAUUGCACUCGGAUAUGCUCACCCCUGUGUUCCCCAAAUAUGGGAAACUCAGCUGCAUAAUUUGCGGUAGUGGAGGACUGUGUUUGAGCUCUUUU
This 157-nucleotide small nuclear RNA is filed under the name Microcebus murinus (gray mouse lemur). Its description in RNAcentral is "U1 spliceosomal RNA (ENSMICG00000018589.3)". It matches the Rfam family "U1 spliceosomal RNA". From Rfam's summary of the family: U1 is a small nuclear RNA (snRNA) component of the spliceosome (involved in pre-mRNA splicing). Its 5' end forms complementary base pairs with the 5' splice junction, thus defining the 5' donor site of an intron. Lineage: Eukaryota; Metazoa; Chordata; Mammalia; Primates; Cheirogaleidae. The record is from RNAcentral.